Gallus gallus (chicken) is the source of this 868-nucleotide long non-coding RNA. The record is from Ensembl. Lineage: Eukaryota; Metazoa; Chordata; Aves; Galliformes; Phasianidae.
GAGACUUCAAUGCCGCUUCUUUUUGCUCUGGAAGCACCUGAAGCGUUGGCACGAAGGCUGAAGGCAUCAUGAGGGUCUCUGAGCUACACCCCACCCGCUGCGGGCACCUGCAUCCCCUCAGGGCUCCUGCUCUGCAUUGCCCGAUCCACUUGGCACAGCUCUGGGGGCAGAACGGAACCCAAAGGAGGCUCUGGACGAUGGACUUUGCUACAGGGAAACCUAAUGCUACCACAGAAAGGGAAGUGAUCAUGGUGUAGCAAUGUGAACUGCCACACAUGGCAAAGCUCGUUUUCCCACCGAGAGCUGGUGUUUUGUGGGACCACAACCUGGUCCCACGAAAGAAGGCAACCUUUCUCCAGUCCACGUAGCAAAACCCCUUCCCACCUUUUCUCAGGCAAGGUCCUGUCCCUGUGGUACAUGCCCAGCACUCCGGGGAAUCCUACACAGUGCCAUGACCCAAAUCAGCACCCAAGCCUGCCUCACUGCAAAGCAUGCCUGUAAUUUCAACUUGAUGCUGUUCUUUCAUGCAGCAGCUACUGGAAGGCUUGGGGAUCAAGUGCUGUAGGUGUAUGCUUAACACUGCUGAAGUCACUUUGAUCUUCUCCGAGGACAGAAUUUUCUGCAGAUUAAAUUCUCAGCUCUGAACGAUGGUAUUGGUUAUUUAACAGAAUCAAAGUUGGAAGAUGGUUAAAUAAUUAGUGAGUUGAAUUUAAAGAAUAUAGCUGAAGUUUCUGGGAUAUUUUAGUCACAUUUACUUGUAAUAUACAAAAUAUACUGCCUCAGAGCCUGUCAGUAUGCAGCCCUGCGCUCCGAGCAGCACCCCACAAGUAUUAGCGUGCUUCUCCCUUUGCAGAUGCAUCUGUUCUUG